This 253-nucleotide ribosomal RNA is filed under the name uncultured bacterium. Its description in RNAcentral is "partial 16S ribosomal RNA". It matches the Rfam family "Bacterial small subunit ribosomal RNA", at positions 524 to 776 of the family's 1533-position model. The record is from RNAcentral.
GACGAACCGAGCGAACGUUGUUCGGAAUCACUGGGCUUAAAGGGCGCGUAGGCGGGCUCGCAGGUCUGUGGUGAAAUCCUCCAGCCCAACUGGAGAAUGGCCGUGGAUACUGCGGGUCUCGAGGGAGGUAGGGGCGUGCGGAACAGAUGGUGGAGCGGUGAAAUGCGUUGAUAUCAUCUGGAACUCCGGUGGCGAAGGCGGCACGCUGGACCUCUUCUGACGCUGAGGCGCGAAAGCCAGGGGAGCAAACGGG